Melanotaenia boesemani (Boeseman's rainbowfish) is the source of this 927-nucleotide long non-coding RNA. RefSeq lists it as uncharacterized. The record is from RefSeq and is a predicted model, not a curated record. The transcript is spliced from 3 exons. NCBI's taxonomy places the organism in Eukaryota, Metazoa, Chordata, Actinopteri, Atheriniformes, Melanotaeniidae.
UGGCUGGUUCUCUCCCAGCAGAGGAGAUUGAGCGCGCGGUCAUCGCAGGUGUACGAGCUGCACUUCAAAGUGCACUUCCAACGCAACCACUCACACCAUUAACGGUCUCCGGACUACAGACUAACUCGCAGGUUCUUCCAGCAGUGCCCAGAGGCGCGGUGACCCAGUUUUCAACCGCAGUCACGGCACAAAGAUCAGAUGGACAUGCCUUCAUUUCCAAAGAAGACAUCGAGGGUCUGUUGUUUCAAGGGACAACUGUUUCUGAGGCAGCCUCUGCUUUGCAUAUUUCCAGACCCACAUUAUACAAACUCAUGCGGGAAUACAACAUAAGGCACACCAGAUUUACUGAGAUUUCUGAUCAGGAACUGGAUGUAAUGAUAUGUGCCAUUAAAGCUGAACAUCCUCAUGUAGGAGAAGUUAUGCUAAAUGGGCAUUUGCGUGCCAGAAACAUUACUGUCCAAAGACGUCGUCUCAGAGACUCAAUUAAAAGGGUUGAUGGUGCUGGUGUUGAGUCCAGAAGGGCAACAACAAUACAGAGGAGAGUGUACACUGUGCCCUUCCCAAACUAUGUAUGGCACAUCGAUGGCAAUCACAAACUGAUCCGAUGGAAAUUAGUUGUACAUAGUGCAAUGGAUGGUUACAGCAGAAUGAUAACUUUUCUCCAGUGUUCCAACAACAAUAGGGCUGAAACUGUAAUGGAUCUUUUCACUACAGCCAUCAGGGAAGUUGGACGGCCCAUUCAUAUUAGAACUGAUCAUGGAGGCGAGAAUGUGCUAAUAUGGGAAGACAUGAGAGUGCACAGAGGAGAAAAUUCUGUAUUGACUGGAAGUUCAGUGCAUAACCAACGCAUUGAGAGAUUCAAUCGGGACUUAAACAGAAACUGCCGUGAUGUUUUUGCGCCCAUAUUUUAUGAACUUGAGUCCAUGG